UACGGAGGGUGCGAGCGUUAUCCGGAAUUACUGGGUUUAAAGGGUGCGUAGGUGGGCAGGUAAGUCAGUGGUGAAAUCUCCGGGCUUAACUCGGAAACUGCCAUUGAUACUAUCUGUCUUGAAUACCGUGGAGGUCAGCGGAAUAUGUCAUGUAGCGGUGAAAUGCUUAGAUAUGACAUAGAACACCAAUUGCGAAGGCAGCUGGCUACACGAAUAUUGACACUGAUGCACGAAAGCGUGGGGAUCAAACAGG
This 253-nucleotide ribosomal RNA is filed under the name uncultured bacterium. RNAcentral's name for it is "partial 16S ribosomal RNA". It matches the Rfam family "Bacterial small subunit ribosomal RNA", at positions 524 to 776 of the family's 1533-position model. The record is from RNAcentral.